CCUACGGGAGGCAGCAGUGAGGAAUAUUGGUCAAUGGCCGAGAGUCUGAACCAGCCAAGUAGCGUGAAGGAUGACUGCCCUAUGGGUUGUAAACUUCUUUUAUAAAGGAAUAAAACGCGGCACGUGUGCCUUUUUGCAUGUACUUCAUGAAUAAGGAUCGGCUAAGUCCGUGCCAGCAGCCGCGGUAAUACGGAGGGUCCGAGCGUUAUCCGGAUUUAUUGGGUUUAAAGGGAGCGUAGAUGGGUUGUUAAGUCAGUUGUGAAAGUUUGCGGCUCAACCGUAAGAUUGCAAUGGAUACUGGAAGUCUUGAGUACAGUGGAGGUAGGCGGAAUUCGUGGUGUAGCGGUGAAAUGCUUAGAUAUCACGAAGAACCCCGAUUGCGAAGGCAGCUUACUAAACUGUGACUGACAUUGAGGCUCGAAAGCGUGGGUAUCAAACAGGAUUAGAUACCCUAGUAGUC
Molecule: ribosomal RNA, 460 nt
Filed under: uncultured bacterium
Lineage: Bacteria
Description: partial 16S ribosomal RNA
Rfam family: Bacterial small subunit ribosomal RNA
Source: RNAcentral